This is a long non-coding RNA of Drosophila willistoni, 740 nucleotides long. RefSeq lists it as uncharacterized. NCBI's taxonomy places the organism in Eukaryota, Metazoa, Arthropoda, Insecta, Diptera, Drosophilidae. The transcript has 2 exons. The record is from RefSeq and is a predicted model, not a curated record.
UCUAGAUCAGCCAUAUAUUUGUAAUAUUUUUACGUAACAAAUACCACGAUCGAGACAUGAGACACAUAGAGAAACCAGUCAAUCAAUCCUUCUAAUAUUAUACAUCUUCUUUCCUUCAGAUAAAUCAAUUUUUUGUCGACGAUUCUGCUCUUCCUUAAUCUGGUAGCCUGUCCUUUAAUAUAAAGUCUAACUUAUAGUAGUAAUUUUAUUCUUUUGAGACUUAUUUUUACAAAUGGAAAUAUAUAUAAAACAAGCGGAGUUUUCGUAUAUAUAACACCCACAUUCGUAUAUAACUCCCAAACAGUGGCAGUAAUAUUAUAUUAUAUUAUGGGCAUUCUCCUGUGUCCCUUUAUCAACACUUUUGUAACUUGAUCUGUAUUUGUUCAAAUUUAUCUUCGUAUCUUAUAUUUUCUUUUUAAUUCUGGUGUUGAAAGACUUUAAAAAUAGUCGUAUUAAAAAUUAGAUACUGUAACUUAUAAAUAUAAUGAGCCCUAUAAAGAGCAAAACUUUUAUACAGGACAAAACAAGUUUGGUAUCUCAAUCCAACAGUUGCUUCAAGUCGGCCCAAUAGCCCUGACCCGCCUGGGUCAGAGUAAAACAGCUUCCAGCGAGAAGGGAAAACCAAAGCAAAUUUCAUAUUUCAAAAUGAAAAAGACCGUGAUCAAAAAUGAUCUUUAUAUAGGCAAACAUUUUUAUCGCAAAUAUGUGAAAAAAAAUCAACUAAUUCCAUAAAACAACAA